RNAcentral lists this non-coding RNA (29 nucleotides) under Cricetulus griseus (Chinese hamster). Lineage: Eukaryota; Metazoa; Chordata; Mammalia; Rodentia; Cricetidae. The record is from RNAcentral.
GACGGAUGAAGGAUGAGGUAAGUACUGAA